AGAGUUUGAUCAUGGCUCAGGACGAACGCUUGCGGCGUGCCUAAGAAAUGCAAGUCGAGCGGAGGCGCGGACUUCGGUUUGCGUCUGAGCGGCGAACGGUCGCGUAACACGUAAGCAACCUGCCCGAAAGACCGGGAUAACGAGCCGAAAGGCGCGCUAAUACCGGAUGUGGCCGGGAGGAGACCUCUCUUCCCGAUUAAAACACUCAGAUUGGCUUUCGGAGGGGCUUGCGGCCUAUCAGCUAGAUGGCGGAGUAACAGCCCACCAUGGCGACGACGGGUAGCGGGUCUGAGAGGACGAUCCGCCGGACUGGGACUGAGAGACGGCCCAGACUCCUACGGGGGGCAGCAAUUAGGAAUCUUGUACAAUGGGGGCAACCCUGAUACAGCGACGCCGCGUGGAGGAGGACGGCCUUCGGGUUGUAAACUCCUUUUUGAGAGGAAGAAACACAUGACGGUACUCUCAGAAUAAGCCCCGGCUAACUCCGUGCCAGCAGCCGCGGUA
This 504-nucleotide ribosomal RNA is filed under the name uncultured bacterium. RNAcentral describes it as "bacterial SSU rRNA". It matches the Rfam family "Bacterial small subunit ribosomal RNA", at positions 8 to 522 of the family's 1533-position model. The record is from RNAcentral.